RNAcentral lists this ribosomal RNA (301 nucleotides) under uncultured bacterium. RNAcentral describes it as "partial 16S ribosomal RNA". It matches the Rfam family "Bacterial small subunit ribosomal RNA", at positions 509 to 807 of the family's 1533-position model. The record is from RNAcentral.
CAGUCGCCGCGGGAAUACGAAGGGUGCAAGCGUUAAUCGGAAUUACUGGGCGUAAAGCGUGCGUAGGCGGUGAGUUAAGUCUGCUGUGAAAUCCCCGGGCUCAACCUGGGAAUGGCAGUGGAUACUGGCUCGCUAGAGUGUGUCAGAGGAUGGUGGAAUUCCCGGUGUAGCGGUGAAAUGCGUAGAUAUCAAGAGGAACACCGGUGGCGAAGGCGGCUUCCUGGAAGAUACCUGACUCUGAAACACGAAAGCCAGGGGAGCGAAUGGGAUUAGAGACCCGCGUAGUCCCUGUCUCUUAUAC